UCAAAAUGCUGGGAUUACAAGCGUGAGCCACCUUGCCUGACAGAACACAUACAUUUUUAAUAGUUUAAAGAAAGGACUGUUUGAUACUAUAUUACAAUGCAAAAAGAAAAGAAAGAAAAUAAGAAUAUCAAAUUCUACAGACCUGAACCCCAUGGUUGUGCCUACUACUAACCAGAAUAAAAGAAAUAAGCAAUCUGAAAAACUGCUUUAGCAACUGUUCGAUUCAGAAUAGUUCUGUAAUUAAGUUCCAUAUUUACAGAAUUAUUAAGGGCUUAAAGAGAUCACUUAAAAUUUACACAUAUAUCUAUACACAUACACACACACACACUUUACCAAAUAUUUUUAUUGGGUAAAUUAUAUAGUGCUAUUUGUUAAUUUAGGGGAUUUCAAAAGUUUCAGGAUACAUCCUUUAAAACACCAAUAUUAAACUAUACUAUAGAAUAAAAUCCUUCCAUCAAGGCCAUGAGGCAGGGAGUGAGGAAGAACACACAAAACAAGAGGGGCAGAAUGUUGAUAAUGUUGAAGCUGGUUAUUAGGUAUUUAGAAAUUCAUUAUGCUAUUAUCUCUACAUUUGUAUAUGUUUGAUAACAUUCUCCUAGUAUUUUUUAAAAAAUAAGAUUCUUCCACAGAAUGAUGGGAAGACUCAGUGAGACACAGCAAGGUUUCCUUAACCUUGAGAUUAGAAAAUAGACCAGAAGUCAUAUACAAGCACUGACAAAAGACUAAUUUGGCAUAAAAUAUACACAUUGGAUUUAUUUCUCUAACAAACACACUACUCUCUAUUCAUUUUGAAAGAGCCCACAGGAUAAAAUCUCGUAAACUAUGAUAAUCUAGAGACAAGACCCAAAAAUGUUGAGGUAUAGCCAUCAUAAUUAAGUCCCCUUUACCAAUUCCUGAAUACUCCUGUAAUUGUAUUUACUGUAAAACCUGAAUCACUUUUUAGAGUUGUAAUUUAUAACUCUACUGAGUCUAAGUUCAUACUUUCUUUUUUUAUCAAAGGAUCAGUAACUCCAGUUUCUGGGCUGCUGAUUCACAUAUGAUCAACAGCAGCCAGAACAAAAACAGCAUGGGGGCAGGGUCAUCUCCCACAACCCAUCUGUUUCCCUCUUUUGCUGGCCUGAUUAUGCAUCUUUUCUCCACCCUACCCGCUUUAGGGCUGCAUGCCUUCUGCCUGUACAGAACAACAUACGUACCUAGAAACAACAGCAUGAAAUGUGUUAGAAGAAUGGAAGAACGUAGACAGCUACUGACAACUCUAAAACAUGAGCACUAGCACAAUUCUUUAUCAUGACCCAUGACAAAAAGGUGGUUCUAUGCGACCAAAUGUAAACCUAAUCUUGAAAACUCUUACUGUCUCAGCAGGUACUGCCCUACGUCCUACUGUAGAAGAUGAGGAAAACAGCCAGGCAUGGUGAUGCAUGCCUGUAGUCCCAGCUACUCGGGAGGCUGAGGUACACGAGAAGGAAAACAUGGGAAUGAAGACAAUGAGAAACAACAAAGAUUACAAGAAUAGGAAGAGAAUAACAGAAGAAAAGUAGGAAGAGUUUGAGAAAGAGGAAAGAGGCUGAGUUACAGAUAUAAGGAAAUAAUAAUAUUGCUUUCAAACCUGA
Molecule: long non-coding RNA, 1610 nt
Filed under: Homo sapiens (human)
Lineage: Eukaryota; Metazoa; Chordata; Mammalia; Primates; Hominidae
Description: HSALNT0406127
Source: RNAcentral